Amblyraja radiata (thorny skate) is the source of this 134-nucleotide long non-coding RNA. RefSeq lists it as uncharacterized. The transcript has 3 exons. NCBI's taxonomy places the organism in Eukaryota, Metazoa, Chordata, Chondrichthyes, Rajiformes, Rajidae. The record is from RefSeq and is a predicted model, not a curated record.
UUGGUUCUUGAUGACGAAGGCUUCGAUGCUAGAUGUUUUCGCUUCAUUCAGCACGCUGAAGUUGGUUCUUCUGUCUUCCCAACUGAUAUUUAAGCUGCUUCAAAGACAUCGUUGAUGGAACUUUUGAAGUGUUU